UACAGAGGUCCCAAGCGUUGUUCGGAUUCACUGGGCGUAAAGGGUGCGUAGGUGGCCGGGUAAGUCUGACGUGAAAUCUCCAAGCUCAACUUGGAAACUGCGUCGGAUACUAUCCGGCUAGAGGAUCGGAGGGGAGACUGGAAUACUUGGUGUAGCAGUGAAAUGCGUAGAUAUCAAGUGGAACACCAGUGGCGAAGGCGGGUAGCUGGGCCGACACUGACGCUGAGGCGCGAAAGCCAGGGGAGCGAACGGG
Molecule: ribosomal RNA, 253 nt
Filed under: uncultured bacterium
Lineage: Bacteria
Description: partial 16S ribosomal RNA
Rfam family: Bacterial small subunit ribosomal RNA
Source: RNAcentral